RNAcentral lists this long non-coding RNA (1645 nucleotides) under Salmo salar (Atlantic salmon). Its description in RNAcentral is "lncRNA (ENSSSAG00000083453.1)". The record is from RNAcentral. Lineage: Eukaryota; Metazoa; Chordata; Actinopteri; Salmoniformes; Salmonidae.
GGAGGGUGUGGUGGUGGGCCAAAUAUUGUGGCUUGGGCUGAGUAUAUGGAGGUGUGCGGUAGUAAUGGAGGGAAUGAUUCAGUCUCACUCUUCUGCAAUUUAUGCCAUUAGUGAUUAGGGGUACGGAAAUGAAAUACAAGUGUUUAUUAUUCAAUUCUUAGCUGAUUUUAACAAAGGGGCAAUCAUGAAGUUUAGUCAAACCUAAGAUCAGUGAGGAGGGAGGUGAGAGCUGCAUUCCUGCCCUGUGGAGUUGAGGUCCACGGGAGGAAAGAUCUGCUGCUCGAUUGGUUCCCAAAGCCUACAAAUGACUGGCAGUUGAACAUAUAAUGAAAUCAAGGGGAUGAAUCCAUCUGAAGUCCCUAACGCUGUGCCAAAACCACAGUGAAACAGAGUCACAUGAGAUGGAAUGAACAUCGAGGCCUCGUCACAGGCCACAAUGACUCAGACUUAGAGGACCAACUUACUUCCACACUCACCAAUUUACCCACCCGCUAGCUCUGAGACAAACACUCGUUCUUCUCCAUACUCAAAACUAUUUCUGCACAUUCUGAGAACUUGGUUUACUGCAUCUCAAAAGUGCCACAUGUUGUAUAGCAGAAGAAAGUGAAUCUUGUUUUUGAUGAGGAUACAGGUUUAUCCCGUUCCCACACGUGAAGAGCGAGAACAACAUGAAUGAGGUAUUGGUACAGAGCCAAUAUUGGUCCUUUUUAAGCUCUUAAAGGGAAAAAAUAGCCCUUGUGGUCAACCGAAUCGCAAAUAUUUACCUGGCGUGGUUUACUCUAUUCUUUGGUGGCAAAUGCAGUAGUUUUUUCCAAUAACAUCGUCAAAUUUGAGAGAUAACCUUUCAUAAUAAAAAAAACAGCAAACUGGACAAAUCUGAGGAAAUCUAACAGCAUCCCAGACCGUUAAUUGGCAAUACAACUCGACUCUGCUGCUUGGUAGCUUAAGCAAUGGUAAACUUUUAGAAAAAAAAAAUAUUCGGCUGUCCACGUAGGAGAACCAUUUUUGGUUCCCAUGUGGAAAGGGUUCUACAUAGAACCCAAAAAGGUUACACCGGGAAACAAAAAGGGUUCUUCAAAGGGUUUUCCUAUGGCAACAGCCGAAGAACCCUUUUAAGUUCUACCAUAGCAAUUUGUUUUCUAAGAGUGUACCAUAAAUCAUGUUGUCACAAAGCUGAUUGGUGGAACAAGGGUCAGUGUGACAGAGUUUUACUGAAGUCAUCACAAUUCUUUGGUGACAAAUGAAGCCUUGUUUAUUUCCAUUUGCUAUUAACAAUAAGACACACCUCUAAAUCCUCAAAAUUGAUAGAGAACGUUUUCAUAACACAAUGAAAUAGGACACACUUGAGGAGUAAUUGGUUAUACAACACAGGGCAUCUGAUUGGUAGAUUUAUCUGUAGCGUCAUAAAUAAAAAAAUAAAAACAUCAUCUGAUUGGUGGAAUAACGGCCAGUGCGAGUCCCUGGUUUACAGCCUUACCCCUAGGCGUGCGUUGUGCCAAGAGACGGGACUGACUUAUGGAGCUGUCUUUGAUUGGGCAAGUCUCUGAGCUGGUGAAACGGGUUAUACUGUCCCACAGCAGGGGCAGAACCCAUCACAGAGUUUUACUUUGAAGUCGGGGUGGGGCACAGGCAGGGACGAGGCCCC